This 253-nucleotide ribosomal RNA is filed under the name uncultured bacterium. RNAcentral's name for it is "partial 16S ribosomal RNA". It matches the Rfam family "Bacterial small subunit ribosomal RNA", at positions 524 to 776 of the family's 1533-position model. The record is from RNAcentral.
UACGUAGGGGGCAAGCGUUGUCCGGAUUUAUUGGGCGUAAAGAGCGUGUAGGCGGCCUGAUAGGUCGGUUGUGAAAACUGGAGGCUUAACCUUCAGACGUCGGCCGAAACCAUCUGGCUAGAGUCCGGAAGAGGAGAGUGGAAUUCCUGGUGUAGCGGUGAAAUGCGCAGAUAUCGGGAAGAACACCCGUGGCGAAGGCGGCUCUCUGGGACGGUACUGACGCUGAGACGCGAAAGCGUGGGGAGCGAACAGG